Molecule: ribosomal RNA, 26 nt
Filed under: Miscanthus sinensis f. glaber
Lineage: Eukaryota; Viridiplantae; Streptophyta; Magnoliopsida; Poales; Poaceae
Description: 17S ribosomal RNA
Source: RNAcentral
UGCUACCUGGUUGAUCCUGCCAGAAG